Molecule: ribosomal RNA, 406 nt
Filed under: uncultured bacterium
Lineage: Bacteria
Description: partial 16S ribosomal RNA
Rfam family: Bacterial small subunit ribosomal RNA
Source: RNAcentral
GAUGAACGCUAGCUACAGGCUUAACACAUGCAAGUCGAGGGACCGGCGCACGGGUGAGUACCACGUAUCCAACCUGCCCUUUACUCGUGUAUAGCCUUUCGAAAGAACGAUUAAUACCCGAUAUAAAGGAUGGGGGUGCGUUCCAUUAGGUUGUUGGUGAGGUACCGGCUCACCAAGCCUUCGAUGGAUAGCGGUUCUGAGAGGCAGGUCCCCCACAGUGGAACGGAGACACGGGCCAAACUCCGACGGGAGGCAGCAGUGAGGAAUAGUGGUCAAUGGGGGCUAGGCUGAACCAGCCAAGUAGCGUGAAGGAUGAAGGCUUAUGGGUCGUAAACUUCUUUUAUAUAAGAAUAUGUAUUAGAUGAAUAAGGAUCGGCUAACUCCGAGCCAGCAGCCGCGGGAAUAC